AACGUGGGACACGAGCGUUAUCCGGAGUUAUUGGGCGUAAAGCGCGUGUAGGCGGCUUUGCAAGUCGGGUGUGAAAUCCCUCAGCUCAACUGAGGAAGUGCGCCCGAAACUGCAGAGCUCGAGUGCCGGAGAGGGUGGCGGAAUUCCCCAAGUAGAGGUGAAAUUCGUAGAUAUGGGGAGGAACACCGGUGGCGAAGGCGGCCACCUGGCCGGUAACUGACGCUGAGACGCGAAAGCGUGGGUAGCAAACAGG
Molecule: ribosomal RNA, 253 nt
Filed under: uncultured bacterium
Lineage: Bacteria
Description: partial 16S ribosomal RNA
Rfam family: Bacterial small subunit ribosomal RNA
Source: RNAcentral